RNAcentral lists this small nuclear RNA (82 nucleotides) under Macaca nemestrina (pig-tailed macaque). RNAcentral describes it as "U4 spliceosomal RNA (ENSMNEG00000012487.1)". The stretch from base 1 to 64 matches the Rfam family "U4 spliceosomal RNA". Rfam says of the family: U4 small nuclear RNA (U4 snRNA) is a component of the major U2-dependent spliceosome. The structure of U4 snRNA from yeast and human has been reported. U4 snRNA presents a k-turn RNA motif in the 5p-SL related to recognition of Snu13 protein. Lineage: Eukaryota; Metazoa; Chordata; Mammalia; Primates; Cercopithecidae. The record is from RNAcentral.
AGCUUUGCACAGUGGCAGUAUCAUAGCCAAUGAGGUUUAUCCAAGGCACAAUUAUUGCUGGUUAUUGCUAAUUGAAAACAAG